RNAcentral lists this ribosomal RNA (254 nucleotides) under uncultured bacterium. RNAcentral describes it as "partial 16S ribosomal RNA". It matches the Rfam family "Bacterial small subunit ribosomal RNA", at positions 524 to 776 of the family's 1533-position model. The record is from RNAcentral.
UACGAAGGGUGCAAGCGUUAAUCGGAAUUACUGGGCGUAAAGAGCUCGUAGGCGGUGUGUCACGUCGGCCGUGAAAACCUGCAGCUUAACUGUGGGCGUGCGGUCGAUACGGGCAUCACUGGAGUUCGGCAGGGGAGACUGGAAUUCCUGGUGUAGCGGUGAAAUGCGCAGAUAUCAGGAGGAACACCGGUGGCGAAGGCGGGUCUCUGGGCCGAUACUGACGCUGAGGAGCGAAAGCGUGGGGAGCAAACAGG